ACAAGCUCACCUAUUUACAGAUUUCUAGUAUGGCACCCGGCCACAGCUUAAUGGCCUUGUUUUAUAUUACUUUUGGGAUUGACAGAAGGGUUACAGGACAGUAAGAGGUACCGAGAGAGGCUACAGGGCAUUGACAGGUACAGAGAGGGGCUACAGGGCACAGAGAGGUACCGAGAGGGGCUACAGGACGCAGAGAGGUACCAAGAGGGGCUACAGGGCAUUGACAGGUACAGAGAAGGGCUACAGGGCACAGAGAGGUACCGAGAGGGGCUACAGGGCGCAGAGAGGUACCGAGAGGGGCUACAGGGCACUGAGAGGUACCGAGAGGGGCUACAGGGCACUGAGAGGUACCGAGAGGGGCUACAGGGCACUGAGAGGUACCGAGAGGGGCUACAGGGCACUGAGAGGUACCGAGAGGGGCUACAGAGAAGGGUUACAGGGCAUUGGAACGUACAGUGAAGGGUUACAGGGCACUGAGAGGUACAGAGAGGAGUUACAGGCAGUGGGAGGUAAUGAGGCAUUUAUAUUCUUCUCUUCUUAUAUUUU
Brienomyrus brachyistius is the source of this 546-nucleotide long non-coding RNA. RefSeq lists it as uncharacterized. The transcript has 4 exons. The record is from RefSeq and is a predicted model, not a curated record. NCBI's taxonomy places the organism in Eukaryota, Metazoa, Chordata, Actinopteri, Osteoglossiformes, Mormyridae.